Molecule: ribosomal RNA, 411 nt
Filed under: uncultured microorganism
Description: bacterial SSU rRNA
Rfam family: Archaeal small subunit ribosomal RNA
Source: RNAcentral
GCGCACCAGGCGAGAAACCUCCGCAAUACACGAAAGUGUGACGGGCCAUCCCGAGUGCCGUCCGCUGAGGACGGCUUUCCCCAGUGUACAUAGCUGGGGGAAUAAGGAGAGGGCAAGCCUGGUGCCAGCCGCCGCGGUAAUACCAGCUCUCCGAGUGGUGGGGACGCUUAUUGGGCCUAAAGCAUCCGUAGCCGGCUGGGCAAGUCCUCCGUUAAAUCCAACGAUUCAAUCGUUGGGCUGCGGGGGAUACUGUCCAGCUUGGGGGCGGGAGAGGCCGACGGUAUUCCCGGGGUAGGGGUGAAAUCCUAUAAUCCCGGGAGGACCACCAGUGGCGAAGGCUGUCGGCUAGAACGCGCCCGACGGUGAGGGAUGAAAGCUGGGGGAGCGAACCGGAUUAGAUACCCGUGUAGU